This 75-nucleotide antisense RNA is filed under the name Micromonospora peucetia. RNAcentral describes it as "ASpks TB sRNA". It matches the Rfam family "ASpks TB sRNA". Lineage: Bacteria; Bacillati; Actinomycetota; Actinomycetes; Micromonosporales; Micromonosporaceae. The record is from RNAcentral.
CUUGAUCGACCCCAACCACAACGGCCGAUCCACCGGACGGUCCUUGCCAUACGUCGCCAGCAGCGCCUGCGCCUC